This 63-nucleotide transfer RNA is filed under the name Gekko romblon. Its description in RNAcentral is "tRNA-Trp". Lineage: Eukaryota; Metazoa; Chordata; Lepidosauria; Squamata; Gekkonidae. The record is from RNAcentral.
AAAUUUAGGUUAACUAUAAACCAAGGGCCUUCAAAGCCCUAAAUAGAGUGCAUCUAAUUUCUG